AUGGUCCGUGGACCACAGCCUGCAGAUGCACACCCAUCGUCACUACUAUGGUGUCGUGACGACAAUCUAUUUAAGCGCAACUUCCAGUUUUCCACAAAAUCAGCGAAGCAGAACAAGAAGUCUUUGGGACUAGACUUCAACCCUGGUCCCUCUGCUCCCCGUACUAACGACACACAUGAUGCAGAACCCAAUGUCAUCGGUCCGUUCUACAACCUGGAUGGCCUCAUUACUCACAUUUCUGUUCUAGGUGCCAAAGUGGAUCAUUCUGAUAAUGAUGCUCUGUAUGAUGAAGCCCUUGCCACAAGAUGCUGCAUAUCCUAA
This 321-nucleotide ribosomal RNA is filed under the name Triticum aestivum (bread wheat). RNAcentral's name for it is "partial small subunit ribosomal RNA". The record is from RNAcentral. Lineage: Eukaryota; Viridiplantae; Streptophyta; Magnoliopsida; Poales; Poaceae.